Molecule: ribosomal RNA, 402 nt
Filed under: uncultured microorganism
Description: bacterial SSU rRNA
Rfam family: Archaeal small subunit ribosomal RNA
Source: RNAcentral
GCGCACCAGUCGAGAAACCUUCGCAAUGCGGGAAACCGCGACGAGGGGACUCCCAGUGCCUACGCUCAGCGUAGGCUGUUCCCGAGCCUAGAAAGCUCGGGGAGUAAGGGCUGGGUAAGACGGGUGCCAGCCGCCGCGGUAAUACCCGCAGCCCGAGUGGUGGCCACUAUUAUUGGGCCUAAAGCGUCCGUAGCCGGCCCGGUAAAUGCCUGGGUAAAUCGUGAGGCCUAACCUCACGAAUUCCGGGUAGACUGCCGGGCUAGGGGACCGGAGGAGGGGAGAGGGGUACUCCGAGGGGUAGGGGUGGAAAUCCCUGUAAUCCCUGGAGGACCACCGGUGGCGAAGGCGCUCUCCUAGGACGGGUCCGACGGUGAGGGACGAAAGCCAGGGGAGCGAACCGGA